GAUGAACGCUGGCGGCGUGCCUAAUACAUGCAAGUCGAGCGAACAGACGAGGAGCUUGCUCCUCUGACGUUAGCGGCGGACGGGUGAGUAACACGUGGAUAACCUACCUAUAAGACUGGGAUAACUUCGGGAAACCGGAGCUAAUACCGGAUAAUAUAUUGAACCGCAUGGUUCAAUAGUGAAAGACGGUUUUGCUGUCACUUAUAGAUGGACCCGCGCCGCAUUAGCUAGUUGGUAAGGUAACGGCUUACCAAGGCAACGAUGCGUAGCCGACCUGAGAGGGGGAUCGGCCACACUGGAACUGAGACACGGUCCAGACUCCUACGGGAGGCAGCAGUAGGGAAUCUUCCGCAAUGGGCGAAAGCCUGACGGAGCAACGCCGCGUGAGUGAUGAAGGUCUUCGGAUCGUAAAACUCUGUUAUUAGGGAAGAACAAAUGUGUAAGUAACUAUGCACGUCUUGACGGUACCUAAUCAGAAAGCCACGGCUAACUACGUG
This 497-nucleotide ribosomal RNA is filed under the name uncultured bacterium. RNAcentral's name for it is "partial 16S ribosomal RNA". It matches the Rfam family "Bacterial small subunit ribosomal RNA", at positions 28 to 507 of the family's 1533-position model. The record is from RNAcentral.